Molecule: ribosomal RNA, 469 nt
Filed under: uncultured bacterium
Lineage: Bacteria
Description: bacterial SSU rRNA
Rfam family: Bacterial small subunit ribosomal RNA
Source: RNAcentral
GACGAACGCUGGCGGCGUGCCUAAUACAUGCAAGUCGAGCGAAUUUACGAGAGCUUGCUCUCGUAAAUUAGCGGCGGACGGGUGAGUAACACGUGGGCAACCUGCCUAUAAGACUGGGAUAACUUCGGGAAACCGGAGCUAAUACCGGAUAAUUCACAUCUACUCAUGUAGAUGUGCUGAAAGACGGUUUACGCUGUCACUUAUAGAUGGCCGCGGCGCAUUAGCUAGUUGGUGAGGUAACGGCUCACCAAGGCCACGAUGCGUAGCGACCUGAGAGGGUGAUCGGCCACACUGGGACUGAGACACGGCCCAGGCUCCUACGGAGGCAGCAGUAGGGAAUCUUCCGCAAUGGACGAAAGUCUGACGGAGCAACGCCGCGCGAGUGAUGAAGUUUUCGGAUCGUAAAACUCUGUUGUUAGGGAAGAACAAGUACCAGAGUAACUGCUGGUACCUUGACGGUACCUAACCA